UGUGAGGAUAGGCAUGGGUCCCCAUUAACUCAUUGGUGAGGUAACGACUCACCAAGGCACUGAUGGGUAGGGGAACUGAGAGGUUGAACCCCCACACUGGUACUGAGACACGGACCAGACUCCUACGGGAGGCAGCAGUGAGGAAUAUUGGUCAAUGGGCGAGAGCCUGAACCAGCCAAGUCGCGUGAAGGAUGACUGUCUUAUGGAUUGUAAACUUCUUUUGUAGGGGAAUAAAGAACAGCACGUGUGCUGGAGUGAAUGUACCCUACGAAUAAGCAUCGGCUAACUCCGUGCCAGCAGCCGCGGUAAUACGGAGGAUGCGAGCGUUAUCCGGAUUUAUUGGGUUUAAAGGGUGCGUAGGCGGCCUGUUAAGUCAGCGGUGAAAUCUAGGAGCUUAACUCCUAAAUUGCCAUUGAUACUGGCGGGCUUGAGUGUAGAUGAGGUAGGCGGAAUGCGUGGUGUAGCGGUGGAAUGCAUAGAUAUCACGCAGAACUCCGAUUGCGAAGGCAGCUUACUAAGGUACAACUGACGCUGAAGCACGAAAGCGUGGGUAUCAAACAGGG
RNAcentral lists this ribosomal RNA (563 nucleotides) under uncultured Porphyromonas sp. RNAcentral's name for it is "bacterial SSU rRNA". It matches the Rfam family "Bacterial small subunit ribosomal RNA", at positions 218 to 777 of the family's 1533-position model. Lineage: Bacteria; Pseudomonadati; Bacteroidota; Bacteroidia; Bacteroidales; Porphyromonadaceae. The record is from RNAcentral.